CAAGCGUUACUCGGAAUUACUGGGUGUAAAGCGUGCGUAGGUGGUUCGUUAAGUCUGUCGUGAAAGCCCCGGGCUCAACCUGGGAAUGGCGAUGGAUACUGGCGGGCUAGAGUGCGGUAGAGGGUGGUGGAAUUCCCGGUGUAGCAGUGAAAUGCGUAGAGAUCGGGAGGAACAUCAGUUGCGAAGGCGGCCACCUGGACCAGCACUGACACUGAGGCACGAAAGCGUGGGGAGCAAACAGG
RNAcentral lists this ribosomal RNA (242 nucleotides) under uncultured bacterium. Its description in RNAcentral is "partial 16S ribosomal RNA". It matches the Rfam family "Bacterial small subunit ribosomal RNA", at positions 535 to 776 of the family's 1533-position model. The record is from RNAcentral.